UACGUAGGGGGCAAGCGUUAUCCGGAAUUAUUGGGCGUAAAGAGUACGCAGGUGGCAACCUAAGCGCAGGGUUUAAGGCAAUGGCUCAACCAUUGUUCGCCCUGCGAACUGGGAUGCUUGAGUGCAGGAGAGGAAAGCGGAAUUCCUAGUGUAGCGGUGAAAUGCGUAGAUAUUAGGAGGAACACCAGUGGCGAAGGCGGCUUUCUGGACUGUAACUGACACUGAGGUACGAAAGCGUGGGGAGCAAACAGG
RNAcentral lists this ribosomal RNA (252 nucleotides) under uncultured bacterium. Its description in RNAcentral is "partial 16S ribosomal RNA". It matches the Rfam family "Bacterial small subunit ribosomal RNA", at positions 524 to 776 of the family's 1533-position model. The record is from RNAcentral.